UAGCAGAGGGUGCAAGCGUUAAUCGGAAUUACUGGGCGUAAAGGGUGCGUAGGUGGGUUAUUGUAAGUUGGGUGUGAAAUUCCUGGGCUCAACCUGGGGACUGCGCUCAAUACUGUGUAGCUAGAGUACUGUAGAGGAAGGUGGAAUUUCCAGUGUAGCGGUGAAAUGCGUAGAUAUUGGAAGGAACAUCAGUGGCGAAGGCGACUUUCUGGACAGAUACUGACACUGAGGCACGAAAGCGUGGGGAGCAAACAGG
Molecule: ribosomal RNA, 256 nt
Filed under: uncultured bacterium
Lineage: Bacteria
Description: partial 16S ribosomal RNA
Rfam family: Bacterial small subunit ribosomal RNA
Source: RNAcentral